ACGAACGCUGGCGGCGUGCUUAACACAUGCAAGUCGCACGGAAAGGCCCUGCUUGCAGGGUACUCGAGUGGCGAACGGGUGAGUAACACGUGGGUGAUCUGCCCUGCACUUCGGGAUAAGCUUGGGAAACUGGGUCUAAUACCGGAUAGGAGCCAUCUUUAGUGUGGUGGUUGGAAAGUUUUUUCGGUGUAGGAUGAGCUCGCGGCCUAUCAGCUUGUUGGUGGGGUAAUGGCCUACCAAGGCGGCGACGGGUAGCCGGCCUGAGAGGGUGUACGGCCACAUUGGGACUGAGAUACGGCCCAGACUCCUACGGGAGGCAGCAGUGGGGAAUAUUGCACAAUGGGCGCAAGCCUGAUGCAGCGACGCCGCGUGGGGGAUGAAGGCCUUCGGGUUGUAAACUCCUUUCGCUAGGGACGAAGCUUUGUUGUGACGGUACCUAGAUAAGAAGCACCGGCUAACUACGUG
Molecule: ribosomal RNA, 465 nt
Filed under: uncultured bacterium
Lineage: Bacteria
Description: partial 16S ribosomal RNA
Rfam family: Bacterial small subunit ribosomal RNA
Source: RNAcentral